UGGGGAAUUUUGGACAAUGGGCGAAAGCCUGAUCCAGCAAUGCCGCGUGUGUGAAGAAGGCCUUCGGGUUGUAAAGCACUUUUGUCCGGAAAGAAAUCCUUGGCUCUAAUACAGUCGGGGGAUGACGGUACCGGAAGAAUAAGCACCGGCUAACUACGUGCCAGCAGCCGCGGUAAUACGUAGGGUGCAAGCGUUAAUCGGAAUUACUGGGCGUAAAGCGUGCGCAGGCGGUUUGCUAAGACCGAUGUGAAAUCCCCGGGCUCAACCUGGGAACUGCAUUGGUGACUGGCAGGCUAGAGUAUGGCAGAGGGGGGUAGAAUUCCACGUGUAGCAGUGAAAUGCGUAGAGAUGUGGAGGAAUACCGAUGGCGAAGGCAGCCCCCUGGGCCAAUACUGACGCUCAUGCACGAAAGCGUGGGGAGCAAAACAGGAUUAGAUACCCUGGUAGUCCACGCCCUAAACGAUGUCAACUAGUUGUUGGGGAUUCAUUUCCUUAGUAACGUAGCUAACGCGUGAAGUUGACCGCCUGGGGAGUACGGUCGCAAGAUUAAAACUCAAAUGAAUUGACGGGGUCAUAGC
Molecule: ribosomal RNA, 578 nt
Filed under: uncultured bacterium
Lineage: Bacteria
Description: partial 16S ribosomal RNA
Rfam family: Bacterial small subunit ribosomal RNA
Source: RNAcentral